CCUAAAGGCGUAAUGAAAGUGAAGGUUGUCCUUGUGACAACUGAGAGAAGAUAGGUUACGUUACGAUGUAAUCUCGCAUUCUCGGGACGUCUUAUUCUCAUUGAGAAAAGGCGUACCUAGAGCGUACACGUUGGGACCCGAAAGAUGGUGAACUAUGCCUGGUCAGGAUGAAGUCAGGGGAAACCCUGAUGGAAGUCCGUAGCGAUUCUGACGUGCAAAUCGAUCGUCGGAACUGGGUAUAGGGGCGAAAGACUAAUCGAACCAUCUAGUAGCUGGUUCCCUCCGAAGUUUCCCUCAGGAUAGCUGGCAUUUAUUUAAACGAGUCUCAUCUGGUAAAGCGAAUGAUUAGAGGUCUUGGGAUCGAAACGAUCUCAACCUAUUCUCAAACUUUAAAUGGGUGAGAUCUCUAGCUUGCUUUAAUUAUGAAGCUAUGAGAUAAAUUAUAUAAUUGGAUCAAAGUGCCAAGUGG
RNAcentral lists this ribosomal RNA (469 nucleotides) under Miracinae gen. sp. BJS-2011. RNAcentral's name for it is "eukaryotic LSU rRNA". It matches the Rfam family "Eukaryotic large subunit ribosomal RNA", at positions 707 to 1129 of the family's 3401-position model. Lineage: Eukaryota; Metazoa; Arthropoda; Insecta; Hymenoptera; Braconidae. The record is from RNAcentral.